CCGGACACAGGACUCGCCUCGCAGGAUGAGUUUACGAGGUGUAAAUGCUGGAUAAGAGUUAUGAAGGGAAAGAAAAGUAAGACAAAAACAAUGUGCUACAUUUAAUGCCUGACUUUAGCUUCCCGACUGCUUGCCUUUUAUAAAAGGUGGUGUCUCACAGCUGGAAAUUCCUAGAACCCUCCUGUCAUAAAAAGGUAGAAAGACAUGGCCAGAAGAGUUGCUGAAGGUUAUUUCUGUACUCAAAGAUGGAAUUGAAGAGUUCCUAGUGCAUGUAAAAGUGAAGACCAAGCUGGACAGAAAGAGGACAGAAUAGAUGGUGAGCUGUUAAAUCUGAAUUCCACCCUGUUGCUAUUGCCAGUGCGUCAGAGAGGCUCAUCCCAUGGUGUGUGACAGAAGGACUGCUGGCAGAGAAUGAGACACAAUAAAGUCCCUGAUGCAGGAUAACUCGACUUGGCAACAACCAAGACAUGAGUAAGUUAUUCUUGUGUUGAAUCCACAACACAGCACUGUGCCAGCUACUGAGAAGAAAUCUACUCUAUUCCAGCCAAAAUCAGGACACACUGGUGUUUAUUCAAAUCAGAUUGUGUUCUUAUACUCUGACCCCUCUCUAUGUCCAUUUAUACUAGCCAAAAUUACAGUCAUAUGCUGUUUUGGAUGUCUUUUCCAUGUUUUAAACAUAUUUUUAAUAGGACACCCUCAGCAAAACUAAAGAGGACUUUCAGUGAAAUUCCUUUCUCAGUCUGGUCCUGCAACUAAGAUUUCUUCCCCAUGAAACUUUAAUUGCUCGUAAACAAUGGUGCUUUUGGUCCUGCCUUCUUCAUCUGCCCUACUAGAAAAAUAAAUGUUGCCCAAAAGACCAAAUAAGCCUACUUAUAAUUUAGAGUAAGUGUGGAAAUUAUUCAAAUAUUCGCAUGAAAAAACCUUAGGAAGUAGCAGUGUAGAGAUCCCUCUUCAGCAUACGUGACAUAAAUGUACUGUGAGGGAAAGUGAUCUUCAAAAUAGGUAGGUUAAAAUAAUUUAGAAUAAACCAGUAUUUUUUGUAUGGCCUGAAAGCUGAGAGACAGUAAGAGUGAAACUCUUAACUACAAUCUUGUUAGGCUUCUAAUGGAAGCAUGUCCUUUCCACGUAGAUAAAAUUCUGGACAAAAUUCAAAUUGUAUUUAUAUAUAAUGGAGGUUUGUAGCAAACUGGCUUUGAGCUGAAAAAAAAGCGUAACUUACGAUUGUUAUUUCCACUCCAAAAUAAAUAGCAGCAAUUUCAUGACAAGACAUAUAUGAGAAAAGGAUUGUCUAUUGGCUGUUCCCAGUAUAAAAAUACUGGAAGAAUAAAAUUAAAUUAAUAAAAUAAUUAAGUUAAAAGAUAAUGAGACAAAAGAGACAGUUACUGUUUACUUCAGUCAGUGCUGUCAAGUCUGUGUGUUUCCAAUUUUCCCAUUCAUUGUUUCUUUUCUUGUUACGUAAAGGAUGUCAUCCAGCUGCACGUCUUAACUGAAAAUAGGUAACUGUAUGGAAAAUUACUAGCUUAACUCUGAGCUAAUCACACAAAUGCAUACAUCCCCCUGUGUUGCUGCUUAUUUUUUAUUACAAUGACUAUAAAAAGUUGUAGAAGUGCUACCGUCUGUGUUGGACAGUGGUCUGGCACACACACUGAAAAGAAGAACUCUCUUAUUCUGUGUAUUUUCUUGGUUAGUUGAAACCAGUUCUGGUUUUAAUCCUGUUAUAUGCCUUGAGUCCUUAAUUUUUAACAACAAGGUAGUUAUUUUAUUGCAUUUUCUCUUUUCUU
Molecule: non-coding RNA, 1781 nt
Organism: Sturnus vulgaris (Common starling)
Lineage: Eukaryota; Metazoa; Chordata; Aves; Passeriformes; Sturnidae
Source: RefSeq, a predicted model, not a curated record